UACGUAGGGAGCAAGCGUUAUCCGGAUUUAUUGGGUGUAAAGGGUGCGUAGACGGGCAAAUAAGUUAGUUGUGAAAUCCCUCGGCUCAACCGAGGAACUGCAACUAAAACUGUUAGUCUUGAGUGCGGGAGAGGAAAGUGGAAUUCCUAGUGUAGCGGUGAAAUGCGUAGAUAUUAGGAGGAACACCAGUGGCGAAGGCGACUUUCUGGACCGUAACUGACGUUGAGGCACGAAAGUGUGGGGAGCAAACAGG
RNAcentral lists this ribosomal RNA (253 nucleotides) under uncultured bacterium. RNAcentral's name for it is "partial 16S ribosomal RNA". It matches the Rfam family "Bacterial small subunit ribosomal RNA", at positions 524 to 776 of the family's 1533-position model. The record is from RNAcentral.